UGAAUAUAAACGUCAAGGGUGUUAGGU
RNAcentral lists this non-coding RNA (27 nucleotides) under Homo sapiens (human). Lineage: Eukaryota; Metazoa; Chordata; Mammalia; Primates; Hominidae. The record is from RNAcentral.